Molecule: ribosomal RNA, 524 nt
Filed under: uncultured bacterium
Lineage: Bacteria
Description: bacterial SSU rRNA
Rfam family: Bacterial small subunit ribosomal RNA
Source: RNAcentral
AGUAAAUAGAUACCCAGGUAGUCCACGCCGUAAACGAUGUCGACUUGGAGGUUGUGCCCUUGAGGCGUGGCUUCCGGAGCUAAACGCGUUAAGUCGACCGCCUGGGGAGUACGGCCGCAAGGUUAAAACUCAAAUGAAUUGACGGGGGCCCGCACAAGCGGUGGAGCAUGUGGUUUAAUUCGAUGCAACGCGAAGAACCUUACCUACUCUUGACAUCCAGAGAACUUAGCAGAGAUGCUUUGGUGCCUUCGGGAACUCUGAGACAGGUGCUGCAUGGCUGUCGUCAGCUCGUGUUGUGAAAUGUUGGGUUAAGUCCCGCAACGAGCGCAACCCUUAUCCUUUGUUGCCAGCGGUCCGGCCGGGAACUCAAAGGAGACUGCCAGUGAUAAACUGGAGGAAGGUGGGGAUGACGUCAAGUCAUCAUGGCCCUUACGAGUAGGGCUACACACGUGCUACAAUGGCGCAUACAAAGAGAAGCGACCUCGCGAGAGCAAGCGGACCUCAUAAAGUGCGUCGUAGUCCGG